This 500-nucleotide ribosomal RNA is filed under the name uncultured bacterium. RNAcentral describes it as "partial 16S ribosomal RNA". It matches the Rfam family "Bacterial small subunit ribosomal RNA", at positions 30 to 523 of the family's 1533-position model. The record is from RNAcentral.
AUUGAACGCUGGCGGCAGGCCUAACACAUGCAAGUCGAGCGGAUGACGGGAGCUUGCUCCUUGAUUCAGCGGCGGACGGGUGAGUAAUGCCUAGGAAUCUGCCUGGUAGUGGGGGACAACGUUUCGAAAGGAACGCUAAUACCGCAUACGUCCUACGGGAGAAAGCAGGGGACCUUCGGGCCUUGCGCUAUCAGAUGAGCCUAGGUCGGAUUAGCUAGUUGGUGAGGUAAUGGCUCACCAAGGCGACGGUCCGUAACUGGUCUGAGAGGAUGAUCAGUCACACUGGAACUGAGACACGGUCCAGACUCCUACGGGAGGCAGCAGUGGGGAAUAUUGGACAAUGGGCGAAAGCCUGAUCCAGCCAUGCCGCGUGUGUGAAGAAGGUCUUCGGAUUGUAAAGCACUUUAAGUUGGGAGGAAGGGCAGUAAGUUAAUACCUUGCUGUUUUGACGUUACCGACAGAAUAAGCACCGGCUAACUCUGUGCCAGCCGCCGCCGUAA